GAACUAUAGUUUCUUAUCCUGCAACUGUAAAAACAUGGAUCAUAUAGAACAGGGCAAUUCCCACCACAGUAUGGCAUUAAAAUUAGUAAAGAAACUUAAAAGAAACCUACACAAUUAUAUUGAACAGAGCAAACUUACUAAACAAACGCGAAACUAUUGCUGCUAUAAGAUUGUUAUCUACAAAAUAAACUCAGAGCUAGCCUCAACUCAACUAUUACAAUCAUCUAAUUCCACAGGAAAUUACAGGCCGUGCACGCUCACACAUGAAACACAACACACGAAAUUCUAGAAGACAAGGUCAGUCCAGCAACUACUACUAUCUCGACUGUAAGAAGGUCGCCUCAUUUUGAACACUCACUUUAGUCACAGAAGCAGGCUUCACCUUUGGACGCCUACCCCUUGGUCUCCCACUCCCUGCUGUGCCUCUAUUGUGGUACAGUGGUAGUGGCAGUCCCAUUCAUUUCCUCCAUGGACUGUGCCGUCUAGCCCGACCUCCCUCUAGGCUUUCCACUUCCGGUAGGUGCAGGCUUUGGCUUCACUGGCUUUGGGGGUGCAUUUGGGUCCUUUGGUGGACGGCCCCUGGUUCUGGCAGGGGAAACAACAGUGCCUGGUGGCAAUGGAACCUUAGGCUUAGGAGGCCUGCCUCGGCCACGCUUUGGAGGUGCAUUUGGAUCUGCUUUCAUGUAGCUGUUAGCAGACUAGCUCUCCUGUACUCUUCAUUCUGUUGAGGUGGUGGGAGAGAAGAGUUGUGUGGCCUGCUGGCAAUUCCCUAUAUUUUGAUUCAAUGUACUUUGAUAUAGGUGUCUUGUUGGAGCCAUUCCUCUCAUCCAGUGCUGCGAUUGCUGCCAAAUCGUCUACACAAAAACACCACAAUUCAAAAUAAAAUUAGACUCAUUUUGAGAUUUUGAAUUCAAAUGGGUUUCAGUUGGAUUUUUCAAAACACGAAUAGGCUAAAUAUGCAAAAUAAUCCACUUUAAGUUGAAAUUUAAUUAGUUAUAUAAGGCAUUCCAACGUCGAACCUUUUAUGUUGCUGAAAAACAACGCAGAUAUUGGGCACUGCCAGGUAAAAUCUAAAUGGAUUGGAGAAUAGCUAAUUAGCCAUAAUGAACAUGCAAAAUGAGAAGAAGUUUCUCUCAAAUUUCACGAAAACAUCUUUUUCUAUCUUUUUUCUCUUGAAAAGAAAAAAAACAACAGAGACUUACUGCUUCAAUAGCCAUGAAAAUGACC
Molecule: unclassified non-coding RNA, 1227 nt
Filed under: Hevea brasiliensis (rubber tree)
Lineage: Eukaryota; Viridiplantae; Streptophyta; Magnoliopsida; Malpighiales; Euphorbiaceae
Source: RNAcentral